Long non-coding RNA from Physeter macrocephalus (sperm whale), 473 nucleotides. RefSeq lists it as uncharacterized. The transcript is spliced from 4 exons. The record is from RefSeq and is a predicted model, not a curated record. NCBI's taxonomy places the organism in Eukaryota, Metazoa, Chordata, Mammalia, Artiodactyla, Physeteridae.
CGGCCUCAGCUUCCCCGCGCGGGGCCGGAAGGCAGCGGGAAGCGCGCCGGCAACUAGCCCCGGAACCACUGUGGCCGCGAGGCCCGCGCGCCACUCCGGCCGGACUCUGGCCGCGCACGUCCCCGCCUCCGAGGGUGAGUGAACUAUUCCAACACUUCAAUCAAAUAUCCCAGUGAAUUUGCUUCAUCUGUGACGCUGAUAAUUCUUUAUGAAGACUGAAAAUGUUACCCAGAAGUUAAAUCCUCCAGCUUCUCGCUUCCAUACUUCCCUGCUUGAGGGCUUAAGAACCAUUCUGCUGCUUCAGUGUGCCGCUGGCAUGGAAAUAUCAGAUCUUUUGAACACUACCCAGUGCUGUGGCAUCAUGGAGAAGCAAGCAGAAGUCAUGUAAUGAACAUCCCCUUGUAGUUUUGUAAUGAGCACCCAUGUGCUUUCCUGUUCCUUGUGGUUCAGUCAGCAAAAUAAACACUUUCUUA